UCGAGAAUUUUUGGCAAUGGGCGAAAGCCUGACCAAGCGAUGCCGCGUGCGGGAUGAAGGCCUUCGGGUUGUAAACCGCUGUCAGUGGGGAGGAAAGCUUUGUGAAGAGCAAGGCUUGACCUAUCCGCAGAGGAAGUGUGGGCUAAGUUCGUGCCAGCAGCCGCGGUAAGACGAACCACACAAACGUUAUUCGGAAUUACUGGGCUUAAAGGGUGCGUAGGCUGCGCAGUAAGUUGGGUGUGAAAUACCU
This 250-nucleotide ribosomal RNA is filed under the name uncultured bacterium. RNAcentral describes it as "partial 16S ribosomal RNA". It matches the Rfam family "Bacterial small subunit ribosomal RNA", at positions 355 to 604 of the family's 1533-position model. The record is from RNAcentral.